This 723-nucleotide long non-coding RNA is filed under the name Monodelphis domestica (gray short-tailed opossum). Its description in RNAcentral is "lncRNA (ENSMODG00000046158.1)". Lineage: Eukaryota; Metazoa; Chordata; Mammalia; Didelphimorphia; Didelphidae. The record is from RNAcentral.
CGAAAGCAGCCGCUAUUACUGGAACCCUAAACAAGAGCAUCCCGGGUUUCUUUCAGUCGAUUGCAGUCAAUACCGAAGGCGACCAAGUAGGGCUGGUGUAGACCUCUGCGACAGCGCCCCUUCCACUAACCAUUGUCCUGUGACUAUUGAGGCCAGUGUGUGGCUGAAAAGGAAACGAGAAAGCCAGGAAAGUAAUCUCUGGCAGAGGAGCGCCAUGCAGCUUGUGGUCCAGCCCGGAGAUAUCUGCUUAUCUCGCUGGCUUUUUCUGUGCGCCUAGGUUUGUGUUCCAAUGGGUGGCACACCUCCCUAGAGAAAGUCUGGCGCAUGUGCAGCUAAGUGGCUCAGAUGAUAGAGAAUGAGACCCAGAGAGGGGAGGUCCUGGGUUCAAAUAUGAAUUCAGACACUUCCCAGCUGUGUGACCCUGGGCAAGUCACUUAACCCCCACUGCCUAGCCCUUACCACUCUUCUGCCUUGGAAGCACCACUUGGGAUUGAUUCUAAAACGGAAGAAUUGAGCAAACAGGACCCCAAAUCCUCAGCAGAAACAGGAUCAGCAGCUGUCAUGUUGGUUGAUUGGAGACACCUGGCCCCUGAGGCUGGCAGUCAAAGCCAGCUUACUCAAAAGUUAUCCAAGUCUAGUGGCAAGACAAAUUCAAAACAACUGGUGAUGACUCAGGAUGCAGUGGAUGACCUUGGUUCUUUGAUCUCCAACCAAACUCUAUGA